GACGAACGCUGGCGGCGUGCCUAAUACAUGCAAGUAGAACGCUGAAGAGAGGAGCUUGCUCUUCUUGGAUGAGUUGCGAACGGGUGAGUAACGCGUAGGUAACCUGCCUUGUAGCGGGGGAUAACUAUUGGAAACGAUAGCUAAUACCGCAUAACAAUGGGUGACACAUGUCAUUUAUUUGAAAGGGGCAAUUGCUCCACUACAAGAUGGACCUGCGUUGUAUUAGCUAGUAGGUGAGGUAACGGCUCACCUAGGCGACGAUACAUAGCCGACCUGAGAGGGUGAUCGGCCACACUGGGACUGAGACACGGCCCAGACUCCUACGGGAGGCAGCAGUAGGGAAUCUUCGGCAAUGGGGGCAACCCUGACCGAGCAACGCCGCGUGAGUGAAGAAGGUUUUCGGAUCGUAAAGCUCUGUUGUAAGUCAAGAACGAGUGUGAGAGUGGAAAGUUCACACUGUGGCGGUAGCUUACCAGAAAGGGACGGCUAACUACGUGCCAGCAGCCGCGGUAAUACGUAGGUCCCGAGCGUUGUCCGGAUUUAUUGGGCGUAAAGCGAGCGCAGGCGGUUUGAUAAGUCUGAAGUUAAAGGCUGUGGCUCAACCAUAGUUCGCUUUGGAAACUGUCAAACUUGAGUGCAGAAGGGGAGAGUGGAAUUCCAUGUGUAGCGGUGAAAUGCGUAGAUAUAUGGAGGAACACCGGUGGCGAAAGCGGCUCUCUGGUCUGUAACUGACGCUGAGGCUCGAAAGCGUGGGGAGCGGACAGG
Molecule: ribosomal RNA, 765 nt
Filed under: uncultured Streptococcus sp.
Lineage: Bacteria; Bacillati; Bacillota; Bacilli; Lactobacillales; Streptococcaceae
Description: bacterial SSU rRNA
Rfam family: Bacterial small subunit ribosomal RNA
Source: RNAcentral